CGGAUCUCGAUCAGUGACAAUGGAUUUAGGAGGACCAUGAAGCUUGAGAAUGUGGGCUAUAAAAGCUUCAGCAACUGUCAAAGCUGUGAAAGUAGCAGGCAGCGGUACGAAGUGUCCAUAUUUGGAUAAUCUAUCAACUACAGCCAUGAUAGUCGUUUUACCGCGAGAUGGAGGCAAGCAAGUCACAAAAUCCAUUGUGAUCUCCUCGAAUACCUGCUCCGGAAUUGGAAGUGGUUGUAAUAAGCCAGCAGG
This 252-nucleotide unclassified non-coding RNA is filed under the name Hevea brasiliensis (rubber tree). Lineage: Eukaryota; Viridiplantae; Streptophyta; Magnoliopsida; Malpighiales; Euphorbiaceae. The record is from RNAcentral.